Molecule: ribosomal RNA, 480 nt
Filed under: uncultured bacterium
Lineage: Bacteria
Description: bacterial SSU rRNA
Rfam family: Bacterial small subunit ribosomal RNA
Source: RNAcentral
UCAGUCGACUCCUACGGGGAGGCAGCAGUGGGGGAAUAUUGCACAAUGGGCGCAAGCCUGAUGCAGCCAUGCCGCGUGUGUGAAGAAGGACCUUCGGGUUGUAAAGCACUUUCAGCAGUGAGGAAGGCGGGGUAUGUUAAUAGCAUAUUCGUUUGACGUUAGCUGCAGAAGAAGCACCGGCUAACUCCGUGCCAGCAGCCGCGGUAAUACGGAGGGUGCGAGCGUUAAUCGGAAUUACUGGGCGUAAAGCGCAUGCAGGUGGUUUGUUAAGUCAGAUGUGAAAGACCCGGGGCUCAACCUCGGAAUAGCAUUUGAAACUAGGCAGACUAGAGUACUGUAGAGGGGGGUAGGAAUUUCAGGUGUAGCGGUGAAAUGCGUAGAGAUCUGAAGGAAUACCGGUGGCGAAGGCGGCCCCCUGGACAGAUACUGACACUCAGAUGCGAAAGCGUGGGGAGCAAACAGGAUUAGAUACCCUGGUAG